UAGAGUUUACAGCUCUUUUAAAAUUUGUCCGGCAGGUUUUCAGAAACCCCU
RNAcentral lists this small nuclear RNA (51 nucleotides) under Carlito syrichta (Philippine tarsier). RNAcentral describes it as "U7 small nuclear RNA (ENSTSYG00000024600.2)". It matches the Rfam family "U7 small nuclear RNA". From Rfam's summary of the family: Animal histone pre-mRNAs are spliced by a different mechanism than nuclear pre-mRNAs and self-splicing introns. This processing involves the U7 snRNP, which contains only one RNA species: U7. The 5' end of U7 RNA is thought to base-pair to a conserved spacer element downstream of the cleavage site in histone pre-mRNA. Lineage: Eukaryota; Metazoa; Chordata; Mammalia; Primates; Tarsiidae. The record is from Rfam by way of RNAcentral.